Pelobates cultripes (western spadefoot toad) is the source of this 202-nucleotide non-coding RNA. The record is from the annotation of a GenBank genome assembly. NCBI's taxonomy places the organism in Eukaryota, Metazoa, Chordata, Amphibia, Anura, Pelobatidae.
GGCCAAUAAGAUCUAGCAACGCAUACAACAUAUGUCAGUAUGCCGUAACCAAAAACUAACUCACUAAAGCCCAUGGAAGCAAAGAAUUCAUUAUUAGUCAGCAAGGACAGAUUAAAUGUCUCGUGUAUGUACCAAGAUACCAAGAAAGGUUGGAAAACCCAUACAAAUCAGUGGGAGGACCUGCAGCAGCAGGGUGGGCCGG